This 245-nucleotide ribosomal RNA is filed under the name uncultured bacterium. Its description in RNAcentral is "partial 16S ribosomal RNA". It matches the Rfam family "Bacterial small subunit ribosomal RNA", at positions 15 to 257 of the family's 1533-position model. The record is from RNAcentral.
GAUCCGGCUCAGGAUGAACGCUAGCGGCAGGCCUAACACAUGCAAGUCGAGGGGCAGCACGGUGUAGCAAUACACUGGUGGCGACCGGCGCACGGGUGCGUAACGCGUAUGCAACCUACCCAUAACAGGGGGAUAACACUGAGAAAUUGGUACUAAUACCCCAUAACAUCAGGACCGGCAUCGGUUCUGGUUGAAAACUCCGGUGGUUAUGGAUGGGCAUGCGUUGUAUUAGCUGGUUGGUGAGG